UACGUAGGGAGCAAGCGUUGUCCGGAAUCAUUGGGCGUAAAGCGCGCGUAGGCGGCCCGAUAAGUCCGCUGUAAAAGUCAACGGCUCAACUGUUGAAAGCCGGUGGAUACUGUCGGGCUAGAGUACGGAAGAGGCAAGUGGAAUUCCUGGUGUAGCGGUGGAAUGCGCAGAUAUCAGGAGGAACACCCAUAGCGAAGGCAGCUUGCUGGGACGUUUACUGACGCUAAGGCGCGAAAGCGUGGGGAGCGAACAGG
RNAcentral lists this ribosomal RNA (254 nucleotides) under uncultured bacterium. RNAcentral's name for it is "partial 16S ribosomal RNA". It matches the Rfam family "Bacterial small subunit ribosomal RNA", at positions 524 to 776 of the family's 1533-position model. The record is from RNAcentral.